AUAGGCGAUUUUAAUGAGAUUUUAUACUCUCAUGAAAAGGAGGGAGGUGCAGCACGACCUGUACGUAUGAUGCAAAAUUUCCGCGACGCCCUAGUGGAUUGCGAACUAGAUGACAUGGGUUAUACCGGUGAACAAUUUACAUAGAGAAGGCGACGCAUCAGGGAACGUUUGGAUCGAGUUGUUUGUAAUGCGGGCUUCCAGAAGUGUUAG
This 210-nucleotide ribosomal RNA is filed under the name Triticum aestivum (bread wheat). Its description in RNAcentral is "partial small subunit ribosomal RNA". Lineage: Eukaryota; Viridiplantae; Streptophyta; Magnoliopsida; Poales; Poaceae. The record is from RNAcentral.